AGUGAACGCUGGCGGUAGGCCUAACACAUGCAAGUCGAACGGCAGCACAGUAAGAGCUUGCUCUUACGGGUGGCGAGUGGCGGACGGGUGAGGAAUACAUCGGAAUCUACUUUUUCGUGGGGGAUAACGUAGGGAAACUUACGCUAAUACCGCAUACGACCUACGGGUGAAAGCAGGGGAUCUUCGGACCUUGCGCGAUUGAAUGAGCCGAUGUCGGAUUAGCUAGUUGGCGGGGUAAAGGCCCACCAAGGCGACGAUCCGUAGCUGGUCUGAGAGGAUGGACAGCAACAAUGGAAAGGGAAACAGGGCCAAACCCCAAAGGGGGGCAGCAGGGGGGAAAAGUGGAAAAAGGAGAGAAGGCGGUAACAAGAAAAACGGGGGGGGGAAAAAGGUCUUCGGGUUUUAAAGGCCUUUUUGUGGAAAAAAAAAACAAGAAGUUAAUUCCCCCGGGGUCGGGAGGGUACCAAAAAAAAAAGACCGGACAAGCUUCGGG
Molecule: ribosomal RNA, 493 nt
Filed under: uncultured bacterium
Lineage: Bacteria
Description: partial 16S ribosomal RNA
Rfam family: Bacterial small subunit ribosomal RNA
Source: RNAcentral